GGGCGUGUAGCUCAUUUGGUAGAGCGCUCGCUUAGCAUAUCUGGAGCUCCUAGAAUAGGAGACUCUUAAGGUUAUGCGAGAGGUACUGGGUUCGAUUCCCAGCUCGUCCA
Molecule: transfer RNA, 110 nt
Filed under: Thermochaetoides thermophila DSM 1495
Lineage: Eukaryota; Fungi; Ascomycota; Sordariomycetes; Sordariales; Chaetomiaceae
Description: Chaetomium thermophilum var. thermophilum DSM 1495 tRNA
Rfam family: tRNA
About the family: Transfer RNA (tRNA) molecules are approximately 80 nucleotides in length.
Source: Rfam by way of RNAcentral